GUUGCCACCGACAUUUGGUCCCGACCCCCCCUGGAAGUGGGCCGGCUGAGCCCCUAGCGCGCCAAGCCAAUACCCACGAUGCCCUUAUCCCAUAUAAAACAGUGCGGUAGCCCUAAAGCCGUGGUCAGAUUGUCGCGCAUUCUCAAUUGCUCGGUGUUGGCCCAAAGCCCCAGGCGCGCACGCCGACCACCCGCUACUGCCCCAUGACCAUAGCUUACAGGUUCUGAGACCCGGUGUGGGCUCAUACAGGCUUUCCGAGCACCGUUCGGGAUACAUGGGACAUGGAAUGUGACCCUGCCGUCCAUACUAAAGCAAUCUAAGCCCCAUCUUUCCCCAUAUGGCACUCUAUAGGGUACACCACAAUCCUCAAGCGCGCCAGGCACCACGUCUAUGUCCGUCUGAAAGCGCUUCCGUCUGAAACCCCAUCCCCAAGCUUCAGUUCCGCCAGGCGUGGGCCCCUGCGCGCUGUGAGCCCAUUUAGCGGCUGCUUUAUUAUGUGCUAGGACCUAGUAUGGCUGCUCGCGCUCGCUGUCGAAGCCACCAGAGCCCAGUUCUGGACUCCCAAAACCCGCGCGCAGCAGCGGCAGGCGUGCGCGUCGCCGCAUUUCCUAAUUCCCAAAUUACAAGCUUUUGUGAUAUCAUAGAGCGUGUUCCUACAGGCUUCCUUGUCCGUUCCUUGGCUUGGCUGCGCUCGCCCAGCUUGAAGUGUCACCCCGAGACAUUGCAAUGCCACUCCAUCACAUUCGUAUGUCCUUGUGUAGCAUCAGAGGCCCAUCGCAAACUACCGACGAUAGAAAGCUUCAGAAACGUGUGUGAUCAUUCGUGCGCUUGGCUCAGCUAGAAAUGGUAGAAGUGACGCAUAAUAUCGCUGCAUAACAUCGUUGGCAAAGGAUUCUUUAGCGUUGGUUUGCUCGCGUAUAGACUCGCUGAGGCAGUGGGACUAUGAUUGUCGUCGAACGCGUCUUCCGCGUAAAAUGUAGCCCAUAGGAACCUUACAUUACAUAUGUAUACUGGGUCUGGCGCUUUGGCGAACACUUGAAACCCUCGGUGUGGAUGAACUUGCGCGAUGGGCGUUCCGGCGAUCAGGGUGUGUGCACCUUCUUGAGCGGCCGAAUCAUUCUAUGCCUGAUUUGUGGGCUCAAAUGGCGAUGUGCACUUUAGGGAGUUUCAGGACGCUUCUAAAGGCCUCAAUAGAUGUUGACGUUUCCCCAAGAACCACGAUAUUGUAAUUAAGGGCCCAUAGGAACCAGCAUGAUGCUGACAUAACGUCGUUUGCGGAAGUUUGCUGCCAAAAGGAGCCCAAACCGAGGAGUUCUUCCUGCGCGCGCUUGUAGUAACACACAAUUCGCGCUCCACUGGGCUGCGCGUGGAUUUCAGCCAGCGCGCAUCACCCCAAACUUAUUG
RNAcentral lists this long non-coding RNA (1404 nucleotides) under Chlamydomonas reinhardtii. RNAcentral describes it as "long non-coding RNA (CREI_LNC000221)". Lineage: Eukaryota; Viridiplantae; Chlorophyta; Chlorophyceae; Chlamydomonadales; Chlamydomonadaceae. The record is from RNAcentral.